CAUUGUACAUUUCUCAGAUUCCACAACUCUUCGAUGCACAAGACUCGUAGCACGGGAAAACUGAAGUCAUCCAACAUCACCAUUUGUUGACCAGUGUAUGCAUUCCGCAGUCUAAGGUAUUUUAGCCAGGGUAGCUCCCCUAGUAGUGGCAUAGGGUCCUCAUCAAGACAGCUAUUAACCAAAGUCAAUGAUUUGAGAUUUAGAGGGAAACUUCUUGGAAGCCUCGCAAGGAGUCCAUCCAAUUUGACUGUUUCAAGUCUGUGUAGAAAACGAAGCUCGUCCAAACAAGGCAUGCUUCUGAAACGAUACCCUCUUAAGAUUAGGUGUUCAAGAUAGUCCAAGUCAGCCAAUGACUCCAAGAGCUUGCUUACAUCUGAUUUUCCGUCCAAUCCUUCUAUCCCCAAUUCCGUAAGACAUCCAAAAUUUAAGUACGAUAGGUCAAAUGUCCAAUUAUCAACCGAGACGUAGGUUAAGGUCUUCAUAAGCCAUAUUCUGACUAUCUUCAAAGGCUUCCAGCAAAUCACGUCAGACAUGUAGAGAUGGCGAAGGCUAGACAAUUCCCAUAUAACAUCUGGCACCUCCACCAUAAAGUUUUGAGCUAUGUCAAGAACUUCAAGCUUUUCCAAGAACCACAACGACUGUGGAAGCUCUUUUAUGUAAUUAUUUCUCAACCCCAAGUAUCUUAAUUCCAUCAAUGUGCAGAUAGUUUCCGAUAAAAAUUUCAACCCAAAAUCUUCCAAGUCAAGUAUCUUAUUAAGUUGUUCAAAGUUCUUCCAAUAAGAUGGACUAGUGUCCAAGUAGCCACCUCCAUGGAAGAAGAGAGAAACAAGAUGUUUAUCUUGAUCUGUGGAGUAGUUGAACUUGUCUCUGCUACAAAUGAUAACACGAUGAUGACGAGGAUUCUCAGAGGGUCGAUUAUUUCCAUUGUUCCUUAGCAUCUCAAAACCUAGUUUCUCCUGUGCUUUUUGGAUGGAUAGCAUGUGUAGCACAACAUUCAUGUGAUACUUCGUGCCCUUGUCAUUGACAUUAAUAAAAGAUUCAUUGACUAAAUCCUCUAAAUUUUGUUCACAUUCAUAUCCUGAAUCCUGUACUACUACUCCUCCUGUAACCCAAAUCAGUUUCAACUUUUCUUUCCUCAAAGUUGUAUUUUCCUUAAAGAAGGCCAUAGACAAGAAACAUGACCUCAGUUUGGGUUCUAAUUUAUGAUAAAAUGGUUCAAACAACUUCAAUGUUGAACCAAAAUCAACUGAUUCAAGAAGUUGUUCCCAUUCACCCCCUCCUGAGAGUUUCUUUUCCACUAACUGCUUUCCCACCUCUUUUAUAGCUAAUGGCAGACCGCCACAUUUUCUCAACAUUUGUUUUCCCAUAUACUUCAAGGAUACUGGGAAUUUGUGGUCACCCGNGGGUAUUCUUAUAUAUUGAUUCUAUUUUUUUAGUAUAUUUUUCGAUUACUAAUUCAUUGAUUUUUGAAAGAAUACUUUUUUAAUUAUGAUGAACAACGUAAUUUUUUGUGUCAUUAAACAUACCUACCAUAAAAAAAUACACAAUUGACUGGAUAUGCAAUGAUUCGGUGAAUGGUUAAUUACUUUAUCACCCUCUGUGAAAUAAAAAAUACUAGAUUUCUAAUCAGUUGAAUUAAAAAAAAUCAGUUUCAGCUUUUAAUCUUGGCAGCUAGAUUCAAAAUAAUGAAAGGACAAGAUUUAAUCUUAAUUCUUAUAACGUUUCUCAAUUGAUACUAACACUAUAUAUAUCCAUUAAAAAAAUAUUUGUGGAACGGUAAAAAUUAAUUGAUAGUAAGAAAUAGUUUUACUAAAUAAAAUCAUCCAUAAGAGACCCAAUAUAUUUUUUUUUUUUUUNGAAGCGAAAAGUGUACUUGAUAUUAAACCAAAUCAGCAACAGCAAUAUCUGAGAGCCAGUCGGGAAAACCGGACUUCCAGAUCAUUACAUCAGAGACAGAAAUAGAAUAACGAGCAAGCUCAUGAGCUGCUCGAUUAGCUUCACGACGAGCAUGAAGAAAAUCCACAACAACAAAAGUUCUAGCAUGAGAAAAAACUUCCCAAAGAUCAUCACAGAGCGAAUCCGAACCAUGAUGAGAGUCUUGAAGAAUGUGAAUGGCGAGCAAGGAAUCUGAAUAAACAACCACAUGACCUGUAUCAUUUUCCAAACAAAACCCAAUGGCAAGCAGAAGGGCGUGAAGUUCACCAAGCAGGACCGUAGCUGUAUGGCCAAUUCUCUGACAUCCAGCUGCAACAAUUUUCCCAAGCGCAUCACGAAGAAUAAAACCCAUCCCCACUCGUCUACCCGCAUCGUGAUAGGAGACAUCCACAUCAAGCCGAAGCAAUCCUUGAGGGGGAGGCUGCCAAAGGCGAGAACCUUCCCCCGGCAAAAGGCGCUGCUCAAAAAAGACUUGUUAACGAGCUUUCUGGAACGAGCUCAACAUGCGAUCCCCCACCAUCAGAUCCAGUUCAGAAUCACCAUAUUUGUUCUCAUGUUUGAUAUCACAAAGGAAUUUCCACACAAACCACAGCAAAAACAGCCAUCUCUCCAGCCCAUCGAUCCCUUUUUUAUCCGCUAAUAUAGUUAAUGCAGCAUUUAAACUCUUGUGCCUGAUGUUAAAAGUCUUAAUAUUUGGAGAAUUGCAUAUGGACAUUAGAUUCGGAAUUUGAAAUUGGGCUUAACAGACUACAAACGAAUAUAGUAUUUUCUGCAUGUUCCAAGAAGAGAUCGCAUGCAUAUACUAGGCUUGCCACGGUUAGCUCAGAACCGGCGGGCCGACCCUGAACCGGCCCGAAAGUCAACAGUUUGGGCCCGGACCGUUGACCAUAUACUAUAAGAGCUCCUAUUUACUUUUCUUACGAUAAAUUUGCGAUAAUAUAGAAUUCACCUUUAAAUCCAUCAAGCUGUUUAAGAACUUUGAUUCAUAGAAACAACUAUGUUCUAUUACAAAUUACAACAAAAAAAUAUAAAAAUUAAAUGAAUUAAAAGUUGAAAGACGAGCGAGUUGGUCGAUAUUGUAAGGAUAAACAUCAGUUGUUGCCAACAUCUGCAGUACCUUGAGAAGUAACAGAGUAGCAACAAGAUAUGAAGAAACCACAAUUGUCAAAGCAACUAAAUGUCAUUUACAAACACACAACCACCAAAGGAGAAGAAAAAUCAAUUAUCCUAAUUAACGCCAACUGCUCUAGCUCAUAGGAUUGAUAUUCACCAUCGGUAUUCUGGAGAUAAAGUGUGAAUUCUUGAUCUUUGCUGCAAUGCUUUUAGUUGCCACCAUCUUUAACUCCUUCAGAUUGUACAUCCCUGCAAUUGUUUCCGGGAGGGUAUCCAGAUAUGGACAAUCAUGGAUUUCUAGUUUCUCGAGACGAGACAAUACAUAACGAUCUCCCCAUUGUACAUUUCUCAGAUUCCACAACUCUUCGAUGCACAAGACUCGUAGCAUGGGAAAACUGAAGUCAUCCAACAUCACAAUUUGUUGACCAGUGUAUGCAUUCCGCAGUCUAAGGUAUUUUAGCCAGGGUAUCUCCCCUAGUAGUGGCAUAGGGUCCUCAUCAAGACAGCUAUUAACCAAAGUCAAUGAUUCAAGUGAUCGAGGGAAACUUUUGGGAAGCCUCGCAAGGAGUCCAUCCAAUUUGAGUGUACGAACACGAUGUAGAAUAUGAAGCUCGUCCAAACAAGGCAUGCUUUUGAAACGAUACCCUCUUAAGAUUAGGUGUUAAAGAAAUGUCGACUCAGCCAAUGACUCAAAGAGCUUGCAUAUAUCUGAGUUUCCAUCCAAUUCUUCUAUCCCCAACUUCUUAAGAAAUCCCAUUUUUAAGUCCGAUAGGUCAUAUGUCCAAUUAUCAACCGAGACGUAGGUUAAGGUCGUCAUAAUCCAUAUAUUGACAAUCUUCAAAGGCUUCCGAUAAAUCACAUCAGAC
RNAcentral lists this long non-coding RNA (3914 nucleotides) under Salvia miltiorrhiza (redroot sage). RNAcentral describes it as "long non-coding RNA (SMIL_LNC008253)". Lineage: Eukaryota; Viridiplantae; Streptophyta; Magnoliopsida; Lamiales; Lamiaceae. The record is from RNAcentral.